UGGGCUGGGCUGAUGAUGACUGUGGUGAGGCCGCGGGAUCCGCGCCCGCUCUGUCGCCUGGUGCUGGCCGCUGUGGUGGUGCUUACCUGGGGCUUCGUUCUGUAUGGGGCACGAGUGGCCGCCCAGCGGCAGCUGCAGGGUAUGCUUAUGGCCCAGAGGAAGCCCUAGGCGAUGACGGAGCUCGCGGAACGCCACCGGGAGCCAUGCGCUGUCUCCGAGGAAACGGAGGAAUCCAGGUGGAGGCUGGAGGAGCCCUGUGGUCAGCUGGGCAAAUAAAGCGUAAAUAUUUCUUCAAAAGGAGAACGUAAAUAAAGCAUAAAUAGUUGUUGGGAAAAAAA
Molecule: long non-coding RNA, 338 nt
Organism: Neopsephotus bourkii (Bourke's parrot)
Lineage: Eukaryota; Metazoa; Chordata; Aves; Psittaciformes; Psittacidae
Exons: 2
Source: RefSeq, a predicted model, not a curated record